GCUUUCAACAUCCCCGUUCCGGAGUCAAGCGAACUGCAGGCGGAAAGCCGCCAUGGUCGCUGUUCGGAGCUGAAAGC
RNAcentral lists this small RNA (77 nucleotides) under unclassified sequences. RNAcentral describes it as "NAD+-I sequence". It matches the Rfam family "nadA riboswitch". The record is from Rfam by way of RNAcentral.